GAUGAACGCUGGCGGCGUGCCUAAUACAUGCAAGUCGAGCGAACAGAUGAGGAGCUUGCUCCUCUGACGUUAGCGGCGGACGGGUGAGUAACACGUGGAUAACCUACCUAUAAGACUGGGAUAACUUCGGGAAACCGGAGCUACUACCGGAUAAUAUAUUGAACCGCAUGGUUCAAUAGUGAAAGACGGUUUUGCUGUCACUUAUAGAUGGAUCCGCGCCGCAUUAGCUAGUUGGUAAGGUAACGGCUUACCAAGGCAACGAUGCGUAGCCGACCUGAGAGGGUGAUCGGCCACACUGGAACUGAGACACGGUCCAGACUCCUACGGGAGGCAGCAGUAGGGAAUCUUCCGCAAUGGGCGAAAGCUUGACGGAGCAACGCCGCGUGAGUGAUGAAGGUCUUCGGAUCGUAAAACUCUGUUAUUAGGGAAGAACAAAUGUGUAAGUAACUAUGCACGUCUUGACGGUACCUAAUCAGAAAGCCACGGCUAACUACGUG
Molecule: ribosomal RNA, 497 nt
Filed under: uncultured bacterium
Lineage: Bacteria
Description: partial 16S ribosomal RNA
Rfam family: Bacterial small subunit ribosomal RNA
Source: RNAcentral